Non-coding RNA from Homo sapiens (human), 101 nucleotides. The record is from RefSeq and is marked provisional. NCBI's taxonomy places the organism in Eukaryota, Metazoa, Chordata, Mammalia, Primates, Hominidae.
GGCCUCGCUUUCUUUCCCCAUGCUCUGCACUCUGCCACGCACCCCUUCCUCGGCCAGGCGGACAGAGGAAAUGCAGAUGCUGGAGGCAGGAGCACUGGACU